GAUGAACGCUAGCGGCAGGCCUAAUACAUGCAAGUCGAACGGUAAGGCCCUUUCGGGGUACACGAGUGGCGGACGGGUGCGUAACGCGUAUGCAACAUGCCUUCCAGCGGGGGAGUAUACCAGGGAAACUUGGCGCAAUACCCCACUAGAAUUACGGACCGCAUGGUCUUGUGAUUAAAACUACCGGUGCUGGGAGAUUGGCAUGCGUGACAUUAGCUAGUUGGCGGGGUAACGGCCCACCAAGGCGACGAUGUCUAGCUGGUCUGAGAGGAUGAUCAGCCACACUGGGACUGAGACACGGCCCACGACUCCUACGGGAGGCAGCAGUAGGGAAU
RNAcentral lists this ribosomal RNA (335 nucleotides) under uncultured bacterium. RNAcentral's name for it is "bacterial SSU rRNA". It matches the Rfam family "Bacterial small subunit ribosomal RNA", at positions 28 to 362 of the family's 1533-position model. The record is from RNAcentral.